UUCACAAACAAAGUCUCAACAUCUUCACUCCCAGCCGCAUCCCUUCAUUACCGUUUAGCAUCCAUCAACAAAUUCCACGCGUCUCUCUUCCAACCUCCCCUAUUCCGAGAUCAUCUUUAUCUCGCGGAACAACCAAUCUCAUGCGUGCAUGGCCUCCGCAGCCCACAUCCUGUCCGUGAUCUUCCAUCCUCCCGUUCGCGUUGGCCUCUUCCGGAUCACUCCCAAACGGCACCAGCUCUCAUCUUCUUCCGGAUAACCUUCAUCACCCACGUAUUCCCUAUUGCUUCGGAACAGAGUCCGAGUCUUCAUCAAUACAAGCCACGUCCACGAAGAAACUCCUCUGUUCAUACUCGCAGCCGUUCGACCCACCUCCUAGAUUUCCCCAGCCGCAUCUCAACCGGAUGAGCUUCAUCCUUGCGAGCUUCACGGCAACCACACGUAUUCUUCCUCUAUUUCGGAAUAANN
RNAcentral lists this long non-coding RNA (465 nucleotides) under Phoenix dactylifera (date palm). RNAcentral's name for it is "long non-coding RNA (PDAC_LNC007041)". The record is from RNAcentral. Lineage: Eukaryota; Viridiplantae; Streptophyta; Magnoliopsida; Arecales; Arecaceae.